This 253-nucleotide ribosomal RNA is filed under the name uncultured bacterium. RNAcentral describes it as "partial 16S ribosomal RNA". It matches the Rfam family "Bacterial small subunit ribosomal RNA", at positions 524 to 776 of the family's 1533-position model. The record is from RNAcentral.
GACGAAGGGGGCUAGCGUUGUUCGGAAUUACUGGGCGUAAAGCGCGUGUAGGCGGUUGUUCAAGUCGGGUGUGAAAGCCUUGAGCUCAACUCAAGAAAUGCACUUGAUACUGGAUGACUAGAGGACCGGAGAGGAUAGUGGAAUUCCCAGUGUAGUGGUGAAAUACGUAGAGAUUGGGAAGAACACCAGUGGCGAAGGCGGCUAUCUGGACGGUUUCUGACGCUAAGACGCGAAAGCGUGGGGAGCAAACAGG